UUGAUUAGAAGCCAAAGAGAGGCUUAUCAUUGUUAAUGAUAAAAUUGAAGUUAUUCCUAUCAAA
This 64-nucleotide transfer RNA is filed under the name Paranephrops planifrons. Its description in RNAcentral is "tRNA-Asn". The record is from RNAcentral. Lineage: Eukaryota; Metazoa; Arthropoda; Malacostraca; Decapoda; Parastacidae.